Long non-coding RNA from Aplysia californica (California sea hare), 350 nucleotides. RefSeq lists it as uncharacterized. The record is from RefSeq and is a predicted model, not a curated record. NCBI's taxonomy places the organism in Eukaryota, Metazoa, Mollusca, Gastropoda, Aplysiida, Aplysiidae. The transcript is spliced from 2 exons.
GGUCGUGUGGACACCAACAACUGCCCACUCACACUGCUCGGAGAAGCCUUCUGUGGCAGUUUGGACGAAGUGAUUAUCACACGAGGAUGCACCGACUCACACGCCAUCUCCUGAUCACAUGUGUCCUUCACCUUGUCAAUGUCAGCCAAGGUCAGCCAAGGGUAGCCAAGGUCACCCUGGUGGCAGGUGCCAAGGUCAUUGGGAUGUUCAGCUUUUACCCAGCAUUCAAUUUAUGUCUUCACAAAAACUUUUUUUAACAUUUUGUUUUGCAUUGAGCCGUUGAACUUUGAUGUUAUGUUAUGCUUAUUCGCUUCCCUUAUGGAAAAUAAAUAAAUGUUCAGUAAGUAUUA